Molecule: ribosomal RNA, 253 nt
Filed under: uncultured bacterium
Lineage: Bacteria
Description: partial 16S ribosomal RNA
Rfam family: Bacterial small subunit ribosomal RNA
Source: RNAcentral
GACGUAGGAGGCGAGCGUUGUCCGGAUUCAUUGGGCGUAAAGAGCUCGUAGGCGGUUUGGCAAGUCGGACGUGAAAAUCCGGGGCUCAACCCCGGACCUGCAUCCGAAACUGCCCGACUAGAGGUAGGUAGGGGAGAUCGGAAUUCCUGGUGUAGCGGUGAAAUGCGCAGAUAUCAGGAGGAACACCGGUGGCGAAGGCGGAUCUCUGGGCCUUACCUGACGCUCAGGUGCGAAAGCUAGGGGAGCGAACAGG